AGUAAUUAAGGUUCCAAGAUUCAUAAACACAAAGAAAAACUGAAAGAUAAAGUCUAGAUCUUUUGGACAAACCCCAAAAUGAUCUAUUUAUCGUAUAAUGUUGAAACCCUAGAUUCACUAGAAGACAAGAGAGUUGAGGCGGUUUGGGCGAAUACUCGACUUUGGGGAUCGAGUAAAGAGGAUGCUGCAAAGUCUGCGCCUUUGUGUCUAUGCUCCGAGUGAUCAAUUGGUCAAGUAGAUGCCUCAUCUUCUCUUAUCCGUAUGCUCAGAUGUCUGGUUGAGUGGGAAAUGAGGAGGAUCCGAAGACGCUUUGAUAGCUCAACAAGUCUUGUAGAGAUGGUCACCCUUGGUCGAGUAAAUGGAUUGAGUAGUGGAUCGAGUAGGAGGGGCGUGCAAGUGGAUGAAUCUGCUGCUUCAUCUGAAGUUGCCUUGAUCGAGUAGGAGGAUCGAGUAAACUGCAGCCUCCUCUGUGGCAUCCUGGAUCGAGUAAAGAGGUCGAGUAGAAUGAUGCCUCCUCUAUAGCUGCCUGGCUCGAGUGAAUGGGUCGAGUAGAGUCAUUUUAAGCUCCUUUUGCACCUGAAAACACACCAAAACAUGCAAUGCGAAUGCAAGAUGAUCCUAGAUGUCUAAGUAUGCAAAACAAGCUAAAAUGGUGCAAAAUGAUAUGAUACAAUGAGCAAAUGCAAAGCUAAAUGAUGAUAAACAUACACCUAAAAUGAGUAAAAUACAGUGUUAUCAAUGUGUCACAAUCCAAAGCGUUUGACUAAUUAUAAGAGUUAGAGAUGGAUUAAAAGUGUUUAGACAACACUUAUACCCAUUUUCUCUCAAAAGAGGCUAAAACCAACCAAAAUUUG
Molecule: small RNA, 854 nt
Filed under: Arabidopsis thaliana (thale cress)
Lineage: Eukaryota; Viridiplantae; Streptophyta; Magnoliopsida; Brassicales; Brassicaceae
Description: ATSL034630
Source: RNAcentral